This 1458-nucleotide ribosomal RNA is filed under the name Salmonella enterica. Its description in RNAcentral is "partial 23S ribosomal RNA". It matches the Rfam family "Bacterial large subunit ribosomal RNA", at positions 1 to 1503 of the family's 2925-position model. Lineage: Bacteria; Pseudomonadati; Pseudomonadota; Gammaproteobacteria; Enterobacterales; Enterobacteriaceae. The record is from RNAcentral.
GGUUAAGCGACUAAGCGUACACGGUGGAUGCCCUGGCAGUCAGAGGCGAUGAAGGACGUGCUAAUCUGCGAUAAGCGCCGGUAAGGUGAUAUGAACCGUUAUAACCGGCGAUUUCCGAAUGGGGAAACCCAGUGUGACUCGUCACACUAUCAUUAACUGAAUCCAUAGGUUAAUGAGGCGAACCGGGGGAACUGAAACAUCUAAGUACCCCGAGGAAAAGAAAUCAACCGAGAUUCCCCCAGUAGCGGCGAGCGAACGGGGAGGAGCCCAGAGCCUGAAUCAGCAUGUGUGUUAGUGGAAGCGUCUGGAAAGGCGCGCGAUACAGGGUGACAGCCCCGUACACAAAAGCGCAUAUGCUGUGAGCUCGAUGAGUAGGGCGGGACACGUGGUAUCCUGUCUGAAUAUGGGGGGACCAUCCUCCAAGGCUAAAUACUCCUGACUGACCGAUAGUGAACCAGUACCGUGAGGGAAAGGCGAAAAGAACCCCGGCGAGGGGAGUGAAAAAGAACCUGAAACCGUGUACGUACAAGCAGUGGGAGCACCCUUUGGGGUGUGACUGCGUACCUUUUGUAUAAUGGGUCAGCGACUUAUAUUCUGUAGCAAGGUUAACCGAAUAGGGGAGCCGGAGGGAAACCGAGUCUUAAUUGGGCGUUAAGUUGCAGGGUAUAGACCCGAAACCCGGUGAUCUAGCCAUGGGCAGGUUGAAGGUUGGGUAACACUAACUGGAGGACCGAACCGACUAAUGUUGAAAAAUUAGCGGAUGACCUGUGGCUGGGGGUGAAAGGCCAAUCAAACCGGGAGAUAGCUGGUUCUCCCCGAAAGCUAUUUAGGUAGCGCCUCGUGAAUUCAUCUCCGGGGGUAGAGCACUGUUUCGGCUAGGGGGCCAUCCCGGCUUACCAACCCGAUGCAAACUGCGAAUACCGGAGAAUGUUAUCACGGGAGACACACGGCGGGUGCUAACGUCCGUCGUGAAGAGGGAAACAACCCAGACCGCCAGCUAAGGUCCCAAAGUCAUGGUUAAGUGGGAAACGAUGUGGGAAGGCCCAGACAGCCAGGAUGUUGGCUUAGAAGCAGCCAUCAUUUAAAGAAAGCGUAAUAGCUCACUGGUCGAGUCGGCCUGCGCGGAAGAUGUAACGGGGCUAAACCAUGCACCGAAGCUGCGGCAGCGACGCUGAUGCGUUGUUGGGUAGGGGAGCGUUCUGUAAGCCUGUGAAGGUGGCCUGUGAGGGUUGCUGGAGGUAUCAGAAGUGCGAAUGCUGACAUAAGUAACGAUAAAGCGGGUGAAAAGCCCGCUCGCCGGAAGACCAAGGGUUCCUGUCCAACGUUAAUCGGGGCAGGGUGAGUCGACCCCUAAGGCGAGGCCGAAAGGCGUAGUCGAUGGGAAACGGGUUAAUAUUCCCGUACUUGGUGUUACUGCGAAGGGGGGACGGAGAAGGCUAUGUUGGCCGGGCGACGGUU